Molecule: ribosomal RNA, 203 nt
Filed under: uncultured bacterium
Lineage: Bacteria
Description: partial 16S ribosomal RNA
Rfam family: Bacterial small subunit ribosomal RNA
Source: RNAcentral
GACAAACGCUGGCGGCGUGCGUUAAACAUGCAAGUCGAGCGGGGCCCUUCGGGGUUCAGCGGCGAACGGCUGAGUAGCACGUGCCUGACCUGCCCUUCGUGGGGAUAGCGGUCGGAAACGGCCGGUAAUACCGCAUGUGGUCUGUCGUGUGGGUGCGGCAGAGGAAAGCCUUCGGGCGCCGGAGGAGGGGGGCGCGGCCGACU